Molecule: unclassified non-coding RNA, 235 nt
Filed under: uncultured fungus
Lineage: Eukaryota; Fungi
Description: partial contains 18S rRNA, ITS1, 5.8S rRNA, ITS2 and 28S rRNA
Source: RNAcentral
AAGGAUCAUUACCACAUCAAAACUGUCUGGGGGACGCACUGCUGUGAUGUUUUACAAUGUUUUACAUAACGAAACUCAUAGAUCACGUCCCUGUCUGGACCCUUGUUUUUGCGUACUAUUUGUUUCCUUGGUGGGCUUUGCCUGCCAAAAGGACACCAUAUAACCCUUUGUAAUUGCAAUCAGCGUCAGAAAAACAUAAUAGUUACAACUUUCAACAACGGAUCUCUUGGUUCUG